AGAGUGACUCCCAUGAAGUCACCCAGCUGGUUUUCAUGGCUAAGAUGUGACUUAAACUCAAGGUCUCCUGCUUUUUAGC
Non-coding RNA from Pseudonaja textilis, 79 nucleotides. Lineage: Eukaryota; Metazoa; Chordata; Lepidosauria; Squamata; Elapidae. The record is from RefSeq and is a predicted model, not a curated record.